GGGGAAUAUUGCACAAUGGGCGCAAGCCUGAUGCAGCCAUGCCGCGUGUAUGAAGAAGGCCUUCGGGUUGUAAAGUACUUUCAGCGGGGAGGAAGGCGAUGUGGUUAAUAACCGCGUCGAUUGACGUUACCCGCAGAAGAAGCACCGGCUAACUCCGUGCCAGCAGCCGCGGUAAUACGGAGGGUGCAAGCGUUAAUCGGAAUUACUGGGCGUAAAGCGCACGCAGGCGGUCUGUCAAGUCGGAUGUGAAAUCCCCGGGCUCAACCUGGGAACUGCAUCCGAAACUGGCAGGCUUGAGUCUCGUAGAGGGGGGUAGAAUUCCAGGUGUAGCGGUGAAAUGCGUAGAGAUCUGGAGGAAUACCGGUGGCGAAGGCGGCUCUCUGGUCUGUAACUGACGCUGAGGCUCGAAAGCGUGGGGAGCAAAC
Molecule: ribosomal RNA, 425 nt
Filed under: uncultured bacterium
Lineage: Bacteria
Description: bacterial SSU rRNA
Rfam family: Bacterial small subunit ribosomal RNA
Source: RNAcentral